UUUUUAUAAAAGUAUCAUGGAAAAUACAUACAAAAUGCUCAUGUACAUACAGAAAAGGGAGUGCUUAAUGUGAUUCAAUGCUUACAGACUUACAAACGUUACAGACUUAUAGUCUAAACUGAGAGAGUUCAAAAACUUAAUUCACCAAGAAGAGCACAAAUCUUUGUCAAAAUUCCUGUUCUAAACUUCAGCUUGGAAAAUAUAGUCAUUGUCCAAUUUGGGUCCAUUCCACCAUUUGGGGAUGAGUAAGCUAAUGAAGAUGUUGAGACCCAUCAAAGAAAGACCUCUUCUUGCUGGCUCUCCAAUCUCUGAUUAUGCUACUGUCUCCUCCCUUACGUGCUGACAAGCAUUUGGCUAAUUCAGGAGGCAUCCUUUUGGCCACCUUCACUGUCUCUCUCACUUCCAUGAUUCUAGGGAAUAAUUCUAGCUGUCACUGUGCAGCAGGAUGGACACUUUUUAAGAUUCUCUACCCCGACUUUGAGAACUAGACCGGAUGUGUGUGUACAUCCACUGUCUUCAUCAAUAACAUUUAGCUGUCUCCCAGGUCCAGUCAAGGUGACCAAGAGAUAGAGAGGUGGACUAUAACUCUGGUUUAACCACUAGAUCCCUAAAUUAAACAUAUCUGAUUAGAGUGACAGAUGUCUCCCCGCCUAACUGUGUGAUCUUGGGACAGUAACUUAACUUCUCUGAGCCUUAGUUUGUCCUCUGUAAAAUAGUAACUACUAGAGGAAUGUGUUAAAUAGUGCAUGCUAAGUGCCUAGUACAGUGUUUAGCAAACAAUAAGCACUUAAUAAAUGUCAUUUCUAAACACUUUUUAUUGUUAUUCUCGUUAACAUCGGCACGAAGGGACUGCGUUCAUGUAAACCGUCAUGUAACUAUGACCUGCUCAGCUGCGUCCUAUUGUCCCACAGGAGGCCCUGACAUUAAGAGAAGAGCAGCAGCUGGUGUGAUAGAUAAAAUAUGGACAACCACGGUGUAAAAACAGACCAGUACAACUCCAGUCUCUUCAAGAGAGGGCAUGGUAGUUUUUAGGCACUGCCCCUUUGUCCCUUGAGAGGAGAGAGGCAAUUUAUCAGGCUCCUAUAGCUUGAUAGAAACGCUGCUUGCAAAUGUUCACCUCAUCUUGGUCUGAGUCUCUCUUUCUUAAAAUAACAUCUUGUAGGUUCUCCUUGAAAUGGAGUUUUAAGGUCAAGUACAUUUGGAAAAUGCUGUAAGUCUAUUCUUCUAGUGGCAGCAUUAGCGUAUUAAAACCUCUGAACAAUCUAUGGUAAAGAGUCCCAUCUCACUUUAACCCAGUGUUUUCCAAACAUAUUGGCCAUUUUUCACACACACUGCCACCUCACUUCUGAUUUUUUUGUCCUAGAACCAAUACAUAGCCCUGGUUGAUUUUAUUUUCCUUUUUUUCUUUUUUUUGUCCAUGCAAACCACAGACCAUGUCUCUCUCACCUUCCUAGCACCUCUGAUAGCUAAAGGAGCAGGGCACCCCUGUCCUGCCAUCUCCUGGGCACAUACAGAUCCAGGACCAACAUGGCUUGCUUGCCUCCUACCCUGAGGCCAUAGAAAAAGGCUCACCGAAUCUCAGCCUCUACUCACCACAGCACGCCCUGGCAUGUCACAGGCACACACCAAGGGUCCAAACAAGGGCUUGCGGCCCUGACCUGUGGCAGAGCAGACCUCCUCACAACUAGACCUGGGCAGCUCUCCCAUUGAAUGAAAUGGCCUUCCCAGCACAAGGCGGGCCUGAGAGUAAAGACAGCCCUGAUGCCCAGAACUCAACGUCGAGUGACAGGUGCACAGUCUACAGCAGGACCCGAGGCACCCUGGGCCCCUGCUGCACACUGCUCCCAAGAAACGGGAAGGCGCUUGGUCAAGUUAGUGUACCUCACGUAGUAAGUGAAGAGAAACACAGAAACCCACACAUGUGCACGCACAUCCAGACAAGCACACACAUUCCUUGUGUGUUUUCCACAGAACUCCACACCUUCCUGGGCAGAUAAGUGUCUCUUACUCCAAAACCGGUGAUUUCUUCUCCCCUACCCAGUAGAAGGGAAUCUUCUGUGAGAGAGGUUAGCAAAGCCAUCUUCCAGAACCCUGGCAUUUCUGAGUGAACGGUUAAAAAUCUAGUUUCUGAAUGUGCAAAACUAAGUCCAUAAAGUAUCUCCAUGAGCGGAUGUGAUAGAGGAGAAAGGCAGCGCUCUUGAUGUUAGGACACUGGGGUGUGGGUCCCGGUUUUGCUAUUGAGUAACUGUCUUUAGCAAGUCAUUUGUUGCACUCUUUGUUCUCCAUUUUCCCCUUUCUUUAGUGCAGGCCAAUAAUGCCAAUUUCACACUUUGCAGUUGAAUGUGCUAUGUACACACACACUGUCCUCAUGAUACGGAAACCCUGAAACGGUUAUUCCCAUGGCCGGAAGGCAUUUGAGAGAUUCUAGAGCCUGCCUUUAGAAAAGGGAAUGUCUGAAUCACUACUGAGAGAGCCCUUGCUUGAUUUAAUUCCCAACUCAAAGCAAGAAAGUUUGCACAUGGGAAAAAUAUGGCUUUUCAGACAUCACAGCAGGCUCUCCACAAAUACUUGUCCAAUUGAAUUAAGUUGAAAACAUUUAACUGAUGCUAAAACUUCAAGUAUGCGAAAACAAUCUCUCCUUUUCCUGUAACUGGUCUUUCUAUCCCGACUCUGUAUUCUACUCGCUGCAGAUCACCCGAUUAGUCACUUCCGGGUGAGCUCAGUCAAUUUGGUGGAAAGCUCAGGCCUAUUCAGGAUUUUCUUCUUGUUCUCCCCAGUUUCUGUGAGAGGCGUCUGUACAAUGGUCAUCUGCCCUGGUAUCUUCUAGGGAGUACGAUUGUCCCGUUUGCUCUCUAAUCUUCUGCCGAGGACACUGAGCCUUCCCCACGUUUACAUCUAUGGAGGUCUGCGCCCGGCGCUGGCUUCCACGGCCGUGGUCUCCGCUACCUUCCUCGUCCCGUUGCUCCCUUCUUCCUCCGCCUUCCCACGUCUUCCUUGUCUCUUCCCCUCUUCCCUUCGCCUUCAUUUAUUUCUUUGUUUCUCUCUCUCAUUCCCUGCCCCCACCCCCACACAUACCAUUUGUUGAACGCACAGCGUCAGUCCUACAAAACUUGCUAAGAUCUGGUCCUUGUCUUAAGAAGCUCUCAAAUAAAGGAGCCUGCAUCAUCAAAGUGAGGCCAAGAAUUUCAGCCUUGAAAAAGCCUGAAUCUCUCAAAAGAAGUUUUCCAUUCAGGAAGCCAAAUCCCCAAGCCCCAAAGACACUGACUCCUAAAGUCAUCCAUCUUGUCUGCGGCUCAUCCAAGCCCGGAGCCUACCCACCUCCUGGCUCAGUGCCAGAAACUAGGGCGCUGCGGGGAGUCCGGACGCUUCCUUUGCGCGAGGCUGAGAAGAGGGAGGCUCCUGUUCGCUGCCCCUUGUUAAUGGCCGUCCCUUGGACUGUGGUUCCUGAUGAGGUAUGGCCUGAAUGCUUUCUAUGCACCAGCUAUAGACCUUCUGGUGCCCAGGACUGCUGUUUAGCGGGAAGAGAUUGUAAUUCCAUCCUCUGCCAUUCGUCAUCAGUCAUCGAUGACUUCAUCCUGAGACUCAGUUGAUUCUCUCUCCAAAACACAAGCUCUAGAACUGGUCUACUUGGGUUGAAUCCUCGCUCCGCCACCUACCAUCUACCAUCUGUGAUCUCAGGCAAGUUGUUCAGUGCUCUAGUGUCUGGUUCUUUAUCUGUAAAAUGCCAAUAAAGCUAAUAGUUAUCUAAAAGCUUCUGUAGAAAUCAAUUAAGAAAUAUGUAGAAGGUUUGCACUGGAUUAAAAAAUCAACCCAAUGCAUGGUUUAGGAAAGUUCAGGAAUAAAAAUGGAAAUACCACUUCUUCUGAUAAAGAAAUAUUACUUCUCUCCAAGAUACAAAGAUUUCAUUGGCUAAUUUAGCUGUUUCACUACAUUCUUAGGUUAUA
Molecule: long non-coding RNA, 3944 nt
Organism: Equus caballus (horse)
Lineage: Eukaryota; Metazoa; Chordata; Mammalia; Perissodactyla; Equidae
Source: RefSeq, a predicted model, not a curated record